GAUGAACGCUGGCGGCGUGCUUAAUACAUGCAAGUCGAGCGAACGGACGCUAAGCUUGCUUUUUUGAUGUUUGGGGAGGACGGGUGAGUCACACGUGGAUAACCUACUUAUAAGACUGGUAUCACUUCGGGAAAGCGGAGCUAAUACCGGAUAAUAUUUUGAACCGCAUGGUUCAAUAGUGAAAGACGGUCUUUCUGUCACGAAUAGAUGGAUCCGCGCUGCAUUAGCUAGUUGGUAAGGUACCGGGCUACCAAGGCGACGAGGCAUAAACGACCGGAGAGGCGGGUAGGCGACCUUAGAACUGAGCCACGGACCAGACUACUGCGGGAGGCAGCAGUAGGCAACCUGACGCAAUAGGCGAAAACAUGACAGAGCGACGCCACGUCAGUGAUGAAGGUCUUGGGAUCGUGAAGCUCUGUUAUUAGUGAAAAACAUAUGUGUAAGUAACUGUGCACAUCUUGACGGUACCUGAUCAGAAAGCCACGGCUAACUACGUG
This 497-nucleotide ribosomal RNA is filed under the name uncultured bacterium. RNAcentral describes it as "partial 16S ribosomal RNA". It matches the Rfam family "Bacterial small subunit ribosomal RNA", at positions 28 to 507 of the family's 1533-position model. The record is from RNAcentral.